GAAAAUUAUAUAUAAUAAAUAACAUAAGCUAUUUAGUAUAAGUAGGUAAGUUUGAAAUGUAGUGAUAGUAUAGAGUACUGUAAAGGAGGUUUAAUUAGGAGAAAGAUUUUAUUGUUAAGUUACCUUUUGUAUUAGGGACGUUUAAGAUAAAAGUUUAGAUAAAUUAUCCCGAAUUGCUUGUGGGCUAGCUAGGAUUUUUACUAUUGUUGCAUAAAUGAAACUAAUUUCUAGUUAGUGAUGAAAUAUUAGUCAAACGGCAGGAUAUCUGGUUUUUUUAUAAGUAAAUUGAAUUUAUAGAAUUUUUAAUUCUUAAAGUAUUGUUAGGAUUAGCUAAUAGUAGAUCUAUAUUAUGAGGGAAGUUUUCUUAGGUAGGUUUAAUAAUGAUUAUUCGUUAAAUUUUAUUAUUAUUUAGGUGGGAAAUUAAAUUAUUAAGACAAUAUUUGGGGUGUAUAAAAAUAUGGGAUAUGACAAUUUAUUCAUAUAAAUAUUGAAUGUAUUAGUAGCUUGUAUUGUGAUUGUUUUAAUGGACAUAAGAAGGGAUUUAAAGGGAUAUUAAGUGUUAUUAAGGAACUCGGCAAAGUAAUCUUGCCUGUUUAAUAAAAACAUGGUUCUUUGGAUUUUAAUAGAGAAUCUGGCCUGCCCACUGAAUUAAGUUAAAGGGCUGCAGUAUUUUGACUGUACAAAGGUAGCAUAAUCAUUAGUCUUUUAAUUGAAGACUGGAAUGAAUGGUUUGACAGGAUUACACUGUCUCAGUAAUAGUAGGUUAAUUUUACGUCCUUGUGAAAAGGCAAGGAUAAAUUAUAGGGACGAGAAGACCCUAUAAAACUUAAUUUUAAUAGGUGUAUUAUUUAGAGGAUUAAUUUAAUAUAUUCGUUAAGGGUUUGCUGGGGCGGUAUUUAUUUUACAUAAAUUUGAUUAAAUAGUGAUGAUUAGCUUAAGAAAUGAUCCGAUAUUUUGGUCGAUAAAAAGAAGAAGUUACUUUAGGGAUAACAGCGUAAUAAUUUUUGAGAGUUCUUAUUGACGGAAUUGUUUGCGACCUCGAUGUUGGAUUAAGGAAU
Molecule: ribosomal RNA, 1058 nt
Filed under: Narceus americanus
Lineage: Eukaryota; Metazoa; Arthropoda; Diplopoda; Spirobolida; Spirobolidae
Description: partial 16S large subunit ribosomal RNA
Rfam family: Archaeal large subunit ribosomal RNA (bases 529-1058)
Source: RNAcentral